RNAcentral lists this ribosomal RNA (837 nucleotides) under uncultured archaeon. Its description in RNAcentral is "bacterial SSU rRNA". It matches the Rfam family "Archaeal small subunit ribosomal RNA", at positions 21 to 859 of the family's 1478-position model. The record is from RNAcentral.
GGUUACUGCUAUCGGUGUUCGCCUAAGCCAUGCGAGUCAUAUGUUCGUAAGAACAUGGCGUACUGCUCAGUAACACGUGGAUAACCUGCCCUUGGGUCCGGCAUAACCCCGGGAAACUGGGGAUAAUUCCGGAUAACGCACAUAUGCUGGAAUGCUUUUUGCGUAAAAUGGAUUCGUCUGCCCAAGGAUGGGUCUGCGGCCUAUCAGGUAGUAGUGGGUGUAAUGUACCUACUAGCCUACGACGGGUACGGGUUGUGAGAGCAAGAGCCCGGAGAUGGAUUCUGAGACAUGAAUCCAGGCCCUACGGGGCGCAGCAGGCGCGAAAACUUUACAAUGCGGGAAACCGUGAUAAGGGGACACCGAGUGCCAGCAUCCUAUGCUGGCUGUCCGGGUGUGUAAAAUACACCUGUUAGCAAGGGCCGGGCAAGACCGGUGCCAGCCGCCGCGGUAACACCGGCGGCCCGAGUGGUGAUCGUGAUUAUUGGGUCUAAAGGGUCCGUAGCCGGUUUGGUCAGUCCUCCGGGAAAUCUGACAGCUCAACUGUUAGGCUAUCGGAGGAUACUGCCAGACUUGGAACCGGGAGAGGUAAGAGGUACUACAGGGGUAGGAGUGAAAUCUUGUAAUCCCUGUGGGACCACCUGUGGCGAAGGCGUCUUACCAGAACGGGUUCGACGGUGAGGGACGAAAGCUGGGGGCACGAACCGGAUUAGAUACCCGGGUAGUCCCAGCCGUAAACGAUGCUCGCUAGGUGUCAGGCAUGGCGCGACCGUGUCUGGUGCCGCAGGGAAGCCGUGAAGCGAGCCACCUGGGAAGUACGGCCGCAAGGCUGAAACCUAA